RNAcentral lists this ribosomal RNA (440 nucleotides) under uncultured bacterium. RNAcentral describes it as "partial 16S ribosomal RNA". It matches the Rfam family "Bacterial small subunit ribosomal RNA", at positions 338 to 795 of the family's 1533-position model. The record is from RNAcentral.
CCUACGGGAGGCAGCAGUAGGGAAUAUUGCUCAAUGGGGGAAACCCUGACGCAGCAACGCCGCGUGGGUGAUGAAGGUUUUCGGAUUGUAAACCUCUUUUGUUAGAGAAGAUCAAGACGGUAAGUAACGGAUAAGCACCGGCUAACUACGUGCCAGCAGCCGAGGUAAUACGGAGGGUGCAAGCGUUACUCGGAAUGACUGGGCGUAAAGAGCGCGUAGGUGGUAUAGCAAGUCAGAUGUGAAAUCCUAUGGCUUAACCAGAGAACUGCAUUUGAAACUGGUAGUCUAGAGUAUAGAAGAGGUGAGUGGAAUUCUAGGUGUAGCGGUAAAAUGCGUAGAGAUAAAGAGGAAUACUCGUGGCGAAGGCGACCUGCUAGAACGUAACUGACGCUGAGGCGCGAGAGCGUGGGGAGCAAACAGGAUUAGAUACCCUGGUAGUC